RNAcentral lists this ribosomal RNA (468 nucleotides) under uncultured bacterium. RNAcentral's name for it is "partial 16S ribosomal RNA". It matches the Rfam family "Bacterial small subunit ribosomal RNA", at positions 28 to 507 of the family's 1533-position model. The record is from RNAcentral.
GACGAACGCUGGCGGCGUGCUUAACACAUGCAAGUCGAACGGUGAUGCUCCAGCUUGCUGGAGUGGAUCAGUGGCGAACGGGUGAGUAACACGUGAGCAACCUGCCCCAGACUCUGGAAUAAGCGCUGGAAACGGCGUCUAAUACUGGAUACGAAACUGGCCCGCAUGGGCAUGGUUUGGAAAGUUUUUCGGUUUGGGAUGGGCUCGCGGCCUAUCAGCUUGUUGGUGAGGUAAUGGCUCACCAAGGCGACGACGGGUAGCCGGCCUGAGAGGGCGACCGGCCACACUGGGACGGAGACACGGCCCAGACUCCUACGGGAGGCAGCAGUGGGGAAUAUUGCACAAUGGGCGGAAGCCUGAUGCAGCGACGCCGCGUGAGGGAUGACGGCCUUCGGGUUGUAAACCUCUUUCAGCAGGGACGAAGCGAAAGUGACGGUACCUGCAGAAGAAGCACCGGCUAACUACGUG